Ostrea edulis (European flat oyster) is the source of this 820-nucleotide long non-coding RNA. RefSeq lists it as uncharacterized. Lineage: Eukaryota; Metazoa; Mollusca; Bivalvia; Ostreida; Ostreidae. The transcript has 4 exons. The record is from RefSeq and is a predicted model, not a curated record.
UGAUGUCAGAUGAAGAAGUCUGAAGAUACCUUGGAUAUCCUGUUGCAGGAUGACCCAAACGAUCAUGCAUUCAGUAUAAACAUGUUAUUGACAUCCCAAUAUUUAGUGGGAAGCUUCCAGGUAUCUUCCACUAGAGACAGUCUACUGGCAAAUCCAGACAUGCAUUGGAAGUAUGUUGAUGUGGAGGACACAGGGACACCUGAUCCAAGAACUGUGGCAUUUCAUUCGGAGUGACAACCUGGCAUGCAGUUGAUAUGGGACCUGAUUAUUCAGAGAAUUGCAGAUUUUAUGAAGCUGUUUUUGACAGAAGAUUUGGUUUUCUCCAUCUGUGUUGCCACCAACCAUUAUGCUGUGAUGGUCAUAUCUAGGGGGAAGGGUUGUCAUAUGCUUCCCAAGGAAGUUCGAAGCCUCUCACUGAAGAGGAACUGUAUAGAUUUUUGGGCAUUAUCUUAUACAUGUCUGCGGAGAAGUUCCAGUCGAUAGACAGAUAUUGGUCAACGCAUGCCCCUAUCGGAACAACCUAGUAUCAAGAAUUAUGUCUAGAAAUAUGUUUUAAGAGGUUGAAUAUAAGAAGAACAAUUUUUAUUAAAUAUAAUGCAAGUACAUUUAAAUUUAGUGAUUGAAAGUAAGUACUUGAACAUUUGUAUACAUGUACAAUGAACUUGGGGAGGAAAAACGGGCAUUAUUUUCGCAUAGCAUUUGAUAUCAUAAUGGUGUUGUUGCUUAGCAACCAAAUAUAUUUGAAUAUAAAAAAAUUGAUUUUUUUUUAGAUUUUAACAGGAAAGAUCUUUGUUUUAAUGUUGCAAUAUUUAUACUAUUU